UACGAAGGGGGCUAGCGUUGCUCGGAAUUACUGGGCGUAAAGCGCACGUAGGCGGCGAUUCAAGUUAGAUGUGAAAGGCCUGGGCUCAACCCGGGAACUGCAUUUGAUACUGAAUUGCUAGAGUCCAAGAGAGGGUAGUGGAAUUCCCAGUGUAGAGGUGAAAUUCGUAGAUAUUGGGAAGAACACCAGUGGCGAAGGCGGCUACCUGGCUUGGUACUGACGCUGAGGUGCGAAAGCGUGGGGAGCGAACAGGAUUAGAUACCCGGUAGUCC
This 272-nucleotide ribosomal RNA is filed under the name uncultured prokaryote. RNAcentral describes it as "partial 16S ribosomal RNA". It matches the Rfam family "Bacterial small subunit ribosomal RNA", at positions 524 to 796 of the family's 1533-position model. The record is from RNAcentral.